UACGAAGGGGGCUAGCGUUGCUCGGAAUCACUGGGCGUAAAGGGCGCGUAGGCGGCUUUCUAAGUCAGGGGUGAAAUCCUGGAGCUCAACUCCAGAACUGCCUUUGAUACUGGAGAGCUUGAGUCCGGGAGAGGUGAGUGGAACUCCGAGUGUAGAGGUGAAAUUCGUAGAUAUUCGGAAGAACACCAGUGGCGAAGGCGGCUCACUGGCCCGGUACUGACGCUGAGGUGCGAAAGCGUGGGGAGCAAACAGG
RNAcentral lists this ribosomal RNA (253 nucleotides) under uncultured bacterium. RNAcentral's name for it is "partial 16S ribosomal RNA". It matches the Rfam family "Bacterial small subunit ribosomal RNA", at positions 524 to 776 of the family's 1533-position model. The record is from RNAcentral.